This 465-nucleotide ribosomal RNA is filed under the name uncultured bacterium. RNAcentral's name for it is "SSU rRNA". It matches the Rfam family "Bacterial small subunit ribosomal RNA", at positions 26 to 523 of the family's 1533-position model. The record is from RNAcentral.
AGAAUCAACGCUGGCGGCGUGCCUAACACAUGCAAGUCGCACGAGAAAGGGUAGCAAUACCUGAGUAAAGUGGCGCACGGGUGAGUAACACGUGAAUUAUCUACCUCCGAGUGGGGAAUAACUGAGAGAAAUCUUAGCUAAUACCGCAUAACACUUACGAGUCAAAGCAGCAAUGCGCUUGGAGAGGAGUUCGCGGCAGAUUAGUUAGUUGGCGGGGUAAUGGCCCACCAAGACGAUGAUCUGUAUCCGGCCUGAGAGGGCGCACGGACACACUGGAACUGAAACACGGUCCAGACUCCUACGGGAGGCAGCAGUGGGGAAUUUUGCGCAAUGGGGGAAACCCUGACGCAGCAACGCCGCGUGGAGGAUGAAAUAUCUUGGUAUGUAAACUCCUUUCGAUGGGGAAGAUUAUGACGGUACCCAUAGAAGAAGCCCCGGCUAACUUCGUGCCAGCAGCCGCGGUAA